GCUUGGAAUUUAACCUACAGAGGGAUCGGGAACCAUUUAAACCUUUAGACCUGCUAGUGAUGUGAUUCUAAUGGCAUUUCUGCAAAAACGCUGCGGACAAAACGUGAAGGAUGAAUGGAGACAGGGGAAGACAGAAGACAGGAAAAUCGUGAAGGAGGCGUGAGUCUGGGUGAGCUGCCAAAAUUAGCGCAGGCUUUGCAUUUAAAAUGUUUUUCACGUGUCUGUCAUAGUCUUGUAAUGGCCACGAUGUACAAGCCGAGGAGGGCAACAGGAAGUAAAGGAAAAGUCAGCAGGAUAAAUGACGCACAA
RNAcentral lists this long non-coding RNA (309 nucleotides) under Felis catus (domestic cat). RNAcentral describes it as "lncRNA (ENSFCAG00000042750.1)". The record is from RNAcentral. Lineage: Eukaryota; Metazoa; Chordata; Mammalia; Carnivora; Felidae.